This is a non-coding RNA of Epinephelus lanceolatus (giant grouper), 657 nucleotides long. NCBI's taxonomy places the organism in Eukaryota, Metazoa, Chordata, Actinopteri, Perciformes, Serranidae. The record is from RefSeq and is a predicted model, not a curated record.
UUAUCAUGUCACAGGGAAGCAUGAAUGGACCUGUGGCAAAUGUGACCAUGGACCACUUGAUGAGGCGACCCGUGAUAAAGAGCUCAUGGUACCAGGCUCUGCACCACAUGAGGCUCUUCAACGAGUCAUGUUCAACAGACGCUGGUUGAAGGAUGUCGCAAAGUAUCUGACCUUUCGGUCAACUUCGGAACUUAAGAGUUUCCAGAAUUACAUUCUCAUGUAUGCUGGAAAAAGGUUUGCCUUAUCUCCUCCUGUCUAUGAAGCAAGGUGCCUUCUCGCUGCAUUGGACUACAACCACCACAACCAUCGACCAGAUUACAUCGGCCGGAAUAACGAGAAAUCGUUGCAAAGGACUAUGGCUACAUCCCAGAGCUGCAGCGUUGCAUCCUGAGGUGGUGUCUAGAUGGAGGGGCGCUCCCAAGAAAAGCUAAACACCGGCCAGGUGACCCAAGGCAUCUUGGAAAUCUUGCAGGAGUUGUGCCCCCAACGGCAGAACUAGUCCAGACACAAAUUCGCAGAGGACAGGCCUCAGCUACAUGAAGCAAGAAAAGAGAGAAGACAAGACCUGCUUAUUUUCCAAACAUUUUUAUUAGGAACAUGUAAAAGACAAAAAACAAAAUAAAACUAUGUACAUAAUGCAAAUUUGAAAAAUACUCC